Molecule: unclassified non-coding RNA, 263 nt
Filed under: Hevea brasiliensis (rubber tree)
Lineage: Eukaryota; Viridiplantae; Streptophyta; Magnoliopsida; Malpighiales; Euphorbiaceae
Source: RNAcentral
UCGCAAGUAAUGAGCAUCCCUCUCUUUCUCAGUGAAAGCAAGCCCCUUGUUGUGGUGUGGGUCCCGCAACAAAGUAUACCCACUGGCAACAGAGACAGUCCACGGAGUGAUAAGCUGAUCUUCCGUGGCACUAUCCUCACCAUACAAGUCCUCAACACCUCCACCCACAGUAACAUUCUUCUUCUCCUCCUCCUCCACUGAGUGACCACCAUUUACCAUUGUACUCGCCAUUAAAGCACAAAACUUUCUCUCUACUUCCCUAC